This 585-nucleotide ribosomal RNA is filed under the name uncultured bacterium. RNAcentral's name for it is "partial 16S ribosomal RNA". It matches the Rfam family "Bacterial small subunit ribosomal RNA", at positions 355 to 937 of the family's 1533-position model. The record is from RNAcentral.
UGGGGAAUUUUGGACAAUGGGCGAAAGCCUGAUCCAGCAAUGCCGCGUGUGUGAAGAAGGCCUUCGGGUUGUAAAGCACUUUUGUCCGGAAAGAAAUCCUUGGCUCUAAUACAGUCGGGGGAUGACGGUACCGGAAGAAUAAGCACCGGCUAACUACGUGCCAGCAGCCGCGGUAAUACGUAGGGUGCAAGCGUUAAUCGGAAUUACUGGGCGUAAAGCGUGCGCAGGCGGUUUGCUAAGACCGAUGUGAAAUCCCCGGGCUCAACCUGGGAACUGCAUUGGUGACUGGCAGGCUAGAGUAUGGCAGAGGGGGGUAGAAUUCCACGUGUAGUAGUGAAAUGCGUAGAGAUGUGGAGGAAUACCGAUGGCGAAGGCAGCCCCCUGGGCCAAUACUGACGCUCAUGCACGAAAGCGUGGGGAGCAAAACAGGAUUAGAUACCCUGGUAGUCCACGCCCUAAACGAUGUCAACUAGUUGUUGGGGAUUCAUUUCCUUAGUAACGUAGCUAACGCGUGAAGUUGACCGCCUGGGGAGUACGGUCGCAAGAUUAAAACUCAAAGGAAUUGACGGGGUCAUAGCUGUUUCC